AACGUAGGAGGCGAGCGUUAUCCGGAUUCACUGGGCGUAAAGCGCGUGUAGGUGGUUCGUUAAGUCGCUGGUGAAAGCCCCUGGCUCAACUGGGGGAGGUCUGGCGAAACUGGCGGACUCGAGGGUCCGAGAGGAAGGUGGAAUUCCCGGUGUAGCGGUGGAAUGCGUAGAGAUCGGGAGGAACACCAGUGGCGAAGGCGGCCUUCUGGCGGGCAUCUGACACUGAGACGCGAAAGCGUGGGGAGCAAACGGG
Molecule: ribosomal RNA, 253 nt
Filed under: uncultured bacterium
Lineage: Bacteria
Description: partial 16S ribosomal RNA
Rfam family: Bacterial small subunit ribosomal RNA
Source: RNAcentral